AUUUAUUCUCAGGGCGGGGCGAAAUUCCCCACCGGCGGUAUUCCCUUCAAAGUUUAGGGUGAGCCCGCGAGCGCUCGAUACGUCGAGGUCAGCAGAUCUGGUGAAAACCCAGAGCCGACGGUUAAAGUCCGGAUGAGAGAGAAUGAAA
Molecule: non-coding RNA, 148 nt
Filed under: Vibrio tubiashii
Lineage: Bacteria; Pseudomonadati; Pseudomonadota; Gammaproteobacteria; Vibrionales; Vibrionaceae
Description: FMN sequence
Rfam family: FMN riboswitch aptamer (RFN element)
About the family: The RFN element is a highly conserved domain that is found frequently in the 5'-untranslated regions of prokaryotic mRNAs that encode for flavin mononucleotide (FMN) biosynthesis and transport proteins. This element is a metabolite-dependent riboswitch that directly binds FMN in the absence of proteins. In Bacillus subtilis, the riboswitch most likely controls gene expression by causing premature transcription termination within the 5' untranslated region of the ribDEAHT operon and precluding access to the ribosome-binding site of ypaA mRNA.
Source: RNAcentral